UGACAGAUUUACCGCUGCUGUCCCACCAUUGGCUGCCAGCGCGACAGAGUUGAUUUAAUGCUCGGUUCUGAUUGGUCCGUGAGCGACAGGCAAAUUUAUGGCCGUGCUGUGAUUCGCCGCUGGGUGUCUUUGAUGUGAGUUACCGCUCUGUUGCUUAUGGGACGCAGAAACGGUGUCAGGUUUCAAUCGUAAAACCUCGACAUUCCUGACGUCAUGAGAGCAAGAGGAGGAGGAGGAGGAGGAGAGAAAGAGAGAGAGAGACAGAGAGUAAAGGGAACAGCCACAUACACUUCAGCCAAUCAGAAACACUUUCUGCGUGUGAAUCUUUUUGCACAUUCAGUUUUGCUGACAUACAGUUUCACAGUGCUUCUCAAUCCUGGUCCUGGAGGUCCCAGCAGUGCACAUUUUGGAUGCCACCCUUAUUUUAUACAGAUGAUUAGUAAAUUAGUAAAAGCCCUAAGAUCUAAAUGGGGGUUUCCAAAUGAAUUCAAUACCUACGUGGGCCAGAAUCUAUGAGAUUCAUUCACUUUAUGACCUCUGUACACGCACCGUUUUUGCUGGCUUAGUCAUUGAAGUCAGUAUUGUGUACCGCGUACAAGUCAACAUUUUCGCAACCUGUAGAAAAUCGCAAAUUAAAAAUAUC
Molecule: long non-coding RNA, 643 nt
Organism: Cyprinus carpio (common carp)
Lineage: Eukaryota; Metazoa; Chordata; Actinopteri; Cypriniformes; Cyprinidae
Exons: 3
Source: RefSeq, a predicted model, not a curated record